AGACAGCUGGGACCCACGGGAUUUGAGGUGCGCGCUGGGAUCUUAGUGCGCAGAGGCCGGACCGCAGAGUAGAAGAAACGUUUGAAUGGGAAUGGGAGAGGAGAGCAGAAAUGGGAAGGAAAAAGAAGAUUCCAGAGCAGUAACGUAAUUAAACAUUCUCAAUCCACAAAUGACUGCAAAGCAGAUAACCAGAGUCCUGAUGAUUAACUGCCGUCAGUGGAACUGCCUGUUUUUCCUCAAGUGGAUCUUU
Molecule: long non-coding RNA, 250 nt
Filed under: Pan troglodytes (chimpanzee)
Lineage: Eukaryota; Metazoa; Chordata; Mammalia; Primates; Hominidae
Description: lincRNA
Source: RNAcentral